This 474-nucleotide ribosomal RNA is filed under the name uncultured organism. RNAcentral's name for it is "partial 16S ribosomal RNA". It matches the Rfam family "Bacterial small subunit ribosomal RNA", at positions 332 to 797 of the family's 1533-position model. The record is from RNAcentral.
UACACUCCUACGGGAGGCAGCAGUGGGGAAUUUUGGACAAUGGGCGAAAGCCUGAUCCAGCAAUGCCGUGUGAGUGAAGAAGGCCUUCGGGUUGUAAAGCUCUUUUGUCAGGGAAGAAACGGUGAGAGCUAAUAUCUUUUGCUAAUGACGGUACCUGAAGAAUAAGCACCGGCUAACUACGUGCCAGCAGCCGCGGUAAUACGUAGGGUGCAAGCGUUAAUCGGAAUUACUGGGCGUAAAGCGUGCGCAGGCGGUUUUGUAAGUCUGAUGUGAAAUCCCCGGGCUCAACCUGGGAAUUGCAUUGGAGACUGCAAGGCUAGAAUCUGGCAGAGGGGGGUAGAAUUCCACGUGUAGCAGUGAAAUGCGUAGAUAUGUGGAGGAACACCGAUGGCGAAGGCAGCCCCCUGGGUCAAGAUUGACGCUCAUGCACGAAAGCGUGGGGAGCAAACAGGAUUAGAAACCCGAGUAGUCCCA